This 21-nucleotide non-coding RNA is filed under the name Caenorhabditis elegans. Lineage: Eukaryota; Metazoa; Nematoda; Chromadorea; Rhabditida; Rhabditidae. The record is from RNAcentral.
UGAAAUUUGCGGCCUUGUUGG